RNAcentral lists this small RNA (332 nucleotides) under Pongo abelii (Sumatran orangutan). RNAcentral describes it as "processed transcript". Lineage: Eukaryota; Metazoa; Chordata; Mammalia; Primates; Hominidae. The record is from RNAcentral.
GAUCUAACCCAGGAGCAGACAGAGAAACUGCUGCAGUUUCAGCUAUUUCAGAUGGGAAAGAAUAAGGACAUAGGUUUUAAGGAGAGUUAAUGCAGGUUGCUGUUUGAACAACUGGAGAAGGAUAACAUGGACAGAGAGAAGGGGGAACUAAAGGAGUUAUGCAGGCCAGCAGAGGAAGAAAUGAUCCCUUUUCUGCUUGCACAGGAGGAAGAAAUUUAUGACCCUCAUCCUUUUAAAUGAUAGCCUGAACGCUGGGCUGUAGAAUCAAAUUUAUAACUCAUUUUGAAAAUCUUUGUUUUGGUUUCACCUAUUACCUAAAGGAAAAAAAAAAC